UUCUGAGGAAGAUAUGCCAUCGAUGUUUGAGGACCGUAUUAGCGAUUUUGGUGUAUAUUUUAAAAGAGCCGUACAGACGACGACGAACGACGCAGACGAAAGAGUCGAACACCGAAGACGAUGACGCAAUCUGUACAUGUAGUAUGCUCGAGUCCAUGUGCCUGUCUUGUGGAUGUCGAUGUCGCGAAUCGUUGGACUGCGGCAAAUAUGUCAAAGCGUUUACCAGAGGUACCUUGAACUCGAAAUUUAACCUAUGAAGACACCCGAGUGUGUUUGUACCGACAGCGACAGUGCCAUGAGAUGUCGUUGCUGCUGCCACCGAGACUUCUACUGACCUACAUUUUGUACUGUUUGUUUGGGUAUACAAAUACAUUGUUCGUAAUGUCACGUCGUGUACAAAGGGACUCGCCACUACGGAGACCAUUUCGCCUAGAAGAAUGGUUUUCUUCUUCGGAUGCCAGAAAAUAAUACUCUACGAGGUUCAUGAUGGCAGUUUUAAUGCACUUUAAGAAGAGAGUGCUGAAAUGCUGAUGUUUUGGCUGUUCGGAAACUAGCAAAGUCGAUUGCAUCUUAUUCAAGAUGAUUGCCAAGAGUAGAAAAUUAAUGAACAGUUUUUGAGAGGAUCCAUCCUAUGGUACAGACUACAGAGGAACAAACACGUACUUAGUAUUUGGUAUUUCAUGGUAUAAGAUCAGUUUGCAAAUGUGAUCUUCAACGCUGGUAUCAGAAGGAGCUACAGUUGUUGUAGAAGACGAUGUAAUCGGAUUUUCUGUUGAAGACAUGAUUAUUUACAUGAUUACAACUGCAAUAAUGAAUCCAUCUGAAAAAACACCUAGGUAAAAAUUAGUCUGUAAAUUACUUGUAUAUUACACUAUUUGAUAGAUGAAAACUACUUAUACGAACCGAUUCAACAGAGAUUAUGAUGAACGAUGCGCAUUGAGAAAUGUGAAAGUUUAAUAACGCGAAAACAUCGUACUUUUAAGCUAUCAUUAAUUACUCGAAUCGAACAUAUGGAUUCAGAUGAAUGUAACUUCGAGUUGCAGUUACUCCUUGGCUGCGAUUUUAUGUGGAAAAGAUACUACGGGGAAUAGUUAUUUCGGAGAAUGAACGCGAUUAAUUAAUUGAUAAACUCGAUGAAAUUAAUUACGUUUUGGAUAAGAAAAAGAAAGAAUAAGAAAACACCAAAA
Planococcus citri (citrus mealybug) is the source of this 1187-nucleotide long non-coding RNA. RefSeq lists it as uncharacterized. The transcript is spliced from 4 exons. NCBI's taxonomy places the organism in Eukaryota, Metazoa, Arthropoda, Insecta, Hemiptera, Pseudococcidae. The record is from RefSeq and is a predicted model, not a curated record.